Molecule: ribosomal RNA, 742 nt
Filed under: uncultured bacterium
Lineage: Bacteria
Description: bacterial SSU rRNA
Rfam family: Bacterial small subunit ribosomal RNA
Source: RNAcentral
AGAGUUUGAUCAUGGCUCAGAACGAACGCUGGCGGCAGGCUUAACACAUGCAAGUCGAACGCACCGCAAGGUGAGUGGCAGACGGGUGAGUAACGCGUGGGAACGUGCCCUUCAGUUCGGGAUAACCCAGGGAAACUUGGGCUAAUACCGGAUACGUGCGAGAGCAGAAAGAUUUAUCGCUGAAGGAUCGGCCCCGCGUCUGAUUAGCUAGUUGGGGGGGUAAUGGCCCACCAAGGCGACGAUCAGUAGCUGGUCUGAGAGGAUGAUCAGCCNNCAUUGGGACUGAGACACGCCCAAACUCUACGGGGAGGCAGCAGUGGGGAAUAUUGGACAAUGGGCGCAAGCCUGAUCCAGCCCAUGCCGCGUGAGUGAUGAAGCCUUAGGGGUUGUAAAGCUCUUUCGUCCGGGACGAUAAUGACGGUACCGGAAGAAGAAGCCCCGGCUAACUUCGUGCCAGCAGCCGCGGUAAUACGAAGGGGGCUAGCGUUGUUCGGAAUCACUGGGCGUAAAGGGCGCGUAGGCGGCCUGAUAAGUCGGGGGUGAAAGCCUGUGGCUCAACCACAGAAUUGCCUUCGAUACUGUCGGGCUUGAGACCGGAAGAGGUAAGUGGAACUGCGAGUGUAGAGGUGAAAUUCGUAGAUAUUCGCAAGAACACCAGUGGCGAAGGCGGCUUACUGGUCCGGUUCUGACGCUGAGGCGCGAAAGCGUGGGGAGCAAACAGGAUUAGAUACCCUAGUAGUCC